GAUGAACGCUGGCGGCGUGCUUAAUACAUGCAAGUCGAGCGAAAAGACGCGGAGCUUGCUCCUCUGACGUUAGCGGCGGACGUGUGAGUAACACGUGGAUCACCUCCCUAUAAGACUGGGAUCACUUCGGGAAACCGGAGCUAAUACCGGAUAAUAUCUUGAACCGCAGGGUUCAAUAGUGAAAGACGGUUUUGCUGUCACGUAUAGAUGGAUCCGCGCCGCAUUAGCUAGUUGGGAAGGUCACGGCUUACCAAGGCAACGAGGCGUGGCCGACCUGAUUGGCUGGUCGGCCACACUGGAACUGGGACGCGGUCCAGGCUACUACGGUACGCAGCAGUAGGGUAUCUGCCGCAAUGGGCGGGAACCUGACGGAGCGACGCCGCGUCUGAUACGGAGGUCUCCCGAUCGUAAUGCUCUGUUUCUGGGGAUGAACCAAUGUGUAAGUAGCUGUGCACGUCGUGACGGUACCGAAUCAAAAAGCCACGGCUAACUACGUG
RNAcentral lists this ribosomal RNA (497 nucleotides) under uncultured bacterium. RNAcentral's name for it is "partial 16S ribosomal RNA". It matches the Rfam family "Bacterial small subunit ribosomal RNA", at positions 28 to 507 of the family's 1533-position model. The record is from RNAcentral.